UAUGGUGACUAUUGCGAGGGUGUCCACCUCUUCCCAUUCCGAACAGAGAAGUUAAGCCCCUCAGCGCCGAUGGUACUCCGGUAAUACGUGGGAGAGUAGGUCGUUGCCAGUU
Reichenbachiella agariperforans is the source of this 112-nucleotide non-coding RNA. NCBI's taxonomy places the organism in Bacteria, Pseudomonadati, Bacteroidota, Cytophagia, Cytophagales, Reichenbachiellaceae. The record is from Rfam.